Molecule: long non-coding RNA, 238 nt
Organism: Zingiber officinale
Lineage: Eukaryota; Viridiplantae; Streptophyta; Magnoliopsida; Zingiberales; Zingiberaceae
Exons: 4
Source: RefSeq, a predicted model, not a curated record
GGCGACUGAUCAAGGAGAAAUAGCGGAUCAGUGUGCUGUGGACUUGGCUUGUUGCCGGUCAUUGCAAAUUCCACUUCUUGAAGCUAUACCCUAGCUUCCGGGUGUUGAGUUCUUCCUCGUCAUUGAUCUGGAUUGAGGUAAGGGACUGUUGAGCUUAUGGACAGGGAUCAAGGUGCUGUGAGCUGUUGGAUUUGCUGCCAUCCCUCAAGGACUUGGAUUUGGGACGAGCGUCUCGACG